This 673-nucleotide ribosomal RNA is filed under the name Bacillus sp. (in: firmicutes). Its description in RNAcentral is "bacterial SSU rRNA". It matches the Rfam family "Bacterial small subunit ribosomal RNA", at positions 87 to 743 of the family's 1533-position model. The record is from RNAcentral. Lineage: Bacteria; Bacillati; Bacillota; Bacilli; Caryophanales; Bacillaceae.
UUAGGUCAGCGGCGGACGGGUGAGUAACACGUGGGUAACCUGCCUGUAAGACUGGGAUAACUCCGGGAAACCGGGGCUAAUACCGGAUGCUUGAUUGAACCGCAUGGUUCAAUCAUAAAAGGUGGCUUUUAGCUACCACUUACAGAUGGACCCGCGGCGCAUUAGCUAGUUGGUGAGGUAACGGCUCACCAAGGCGACGAUGCGUAGCCGACCUGAGAGGGUGAUCGGCCACACUGGGACUGAGACACGGCCCAGACUCCUACGGGAGGCAGCAGUAGGGAAUCUUCCGCAAUGGACGAAAGUCUGACGGAGCAACGCCGCGUGAGUGAUGAAGGUUUUCGGAUCGUAAAACUCUGUUGUUAGGGAAGAACAAGUACCGUUCGAAUAGGGCGGCACCUUGACGGUACCUAACCAGAAAGCCACGGCUAACUACGUGCCAGCAGCCGCGGUAAUACGUAGGUGGCAAGCGUUGUCCGGAAUUAUUGGGCGUAAAGCGCGCGCAGGCGGUUUCUUAAGUCUGAUGUGAAAGCCCCCGGCUCAACCGGGGAGGGUCAUUGGAAACUGGGGAACUUGAGUGCAGAAGAGGAGAGUGGAAUUCCACGUGUAGCCGGUGAAAUGCCGUAUAGAUGUGGGAGGAACACCAAGGGCGGAAGGCCGACUUCUCUGGUUCUGU